This is a long non-coding RNA of Corticium candelabrum, 644 nucleotides long. RefSeq lists it as uncharacterized. The record is from RefSeq and is a predicted model, not a curated record. Lineage: Eukaryota; Metazoa; Porifera; Homoscleromorpha; Homosclerophorida; Plakinidae. The transcript has 2 exons.
CACUUGGACUCAACCGGCAGUCUGUUUUGGCGGUUCGCUGUCGCGGCGUCUGCAAGAGGAUUAUGCUUUCACCUACCACAUGUACAGCGCAGUCCAGCGACUUGGGUCCUAGUUGACGUGGUUUGUAGAGAUGUCUACUUGCCGUGAAUGUCGCUCUUCAGAUGUAGAAUGAGCUAGGCUGUUUCACAUUUUCCUGUUGAUAUUGUACGUAGAUGAAACCAUCAAUGAAGAAGCCUAAGCCAGCCGAAAACAGAAAUGUCGGUAGUUUCUUCAAGUUACGGACAUGGAUGGAGCUUGCCAGGAAUUGUGGCUUUUGAACAAGAUUCAGGAAAAACAAACUAAAAAGGAUAAAAUCCUCAAGUACAGAUGAAUGCUCAACCAUGCAGAGGUCGCUCGUCCUACGACGGUUCAACUGAAAGAACCACAUCAGCGAUUCAUCACCUGGGCAAAAGAAUCAUCAGUGAAAAAGCAGAUAACUGACAAGGACUGCUACUGAACGUGAAAAGAAAGCAGAGACACUACACUUCUAGAGUGCAUUUUUUGCUAAUCUAGAGUAAGCGUGCCAAAUGGUUAGUAGCACGUAAUUGCAAGAUGUGGCGAUUAGAUAAGGUAACUGGAAAUAUAAUCAGACAUGAUUACAAUCA